Molecule: small RNA, 279 nt
Filed under: Cebus imitator (Panamanian white-faced capuchin)
Lineage: Eukaryota; Metazoa; Chordata; Mammalia; Primates; Cebidae
Description: Metazoan signal recognition particle RNA (ENSCCAG00000001630.1)
Rfam family: Metazoan signal recognition particle RNA
About the family: The signal recognition particle (SRP) is a universally conserved ribonucleoprotein. It is involved in the co-translational targeting of proteins to membranes.
Source: RNAcentral
ACAGAGUCUCUAAAAAAGACUCCUGAGCUCAGAAAGGUGAGGUGGGAGGAUUGCUUAAGUCCAGGAAUUCUGGGUUAUAAUGCACUAGGCAUCUGCACUAAAUUUGGCAUCAUGUGGUGACCUCCCAGGAGCCUGGAAUUAGACCACUUGGUUGCCUAAGGAGGAGUGAACUGGCCCAGGUCAGAAAUGGAGCAAGUCAAAACUUCCAUGUUGAUCAGUAGCAGGAUCACACCUGUGACUAGCCUCUGUACUGGAGCAACAUAGUGAGAUCCCUUUUCU